CGGGACUCAUCCGAGGCCCCGUAAUCGGAAUGAGUACACUUUAAAUCCUUUAACGAGGACCAAUUGGAGGGCAAGUCUGGUGCCAGCAGCCGCGGUAAUUCCAGCUCCAAUAGCGUAUAUUAAAGUUGUUGCGGUUAAAAAGCUCGUAGUUGAAUCUGUGUGUCACAGUGUCGGUUCACCGCUCGCGGUGUUUAACUGGCAUUAUGUGGUACGUCCUAUCGGUGGGCUUAGCUCCUUGCGGGCGGUCCAACUAAUAUCCCAUCGCGGUGCUCUUCACUGAGUGUCGAGGUGGGCCGAUACGUUUACUUUGAAAAAAUUAGAGUGCUUAAAGCAGGCUACCUUUGCCUGAAUACUGUGUGCAUGGAAUAAUGGAAUAGGACCUCGGUUCUAUUUUGUUGGUUUUCGGAACCCCGAGGUAAUGAUUAAUAGGGACAGAUGGGGGCAUUCGUAUUGCGACGUUAGAGGUGAAAUUCUUGGAUCGUCGCAAGACGGACAGAAGCGAAAGCAUUUGCCAAAAAUGUUUUCAUUAAUCAAGAACGAAAGUUAGAGGUUCGAAGGCGAUCAGAUACCGCCCUAGUUCUAACCAUAAACGAUGCCAGCCAGCGAUCCGCCGAAGUUCCUCCGAUGACUCGGCGGGCAGCUUCCGGGAAACCAAAGCUUUUGGGUUCCGGGGGAAGUAUGGUUGCAAAGCUGAAACUUAAAGGAAUUGACGGAAGGGCACCACCAGGA
Molecule: ribosomal RNA, 729 nt
Filed under: Apis cerana (Asiatic honeybee)
Lineage: Eukaryota; Metazoa; Arthropoda; Insecta; Hymenoptera; Apidae
Also listed under: 2 other names
Description: SSU rRNA
Rfam family: Eukaryotic small subunit ribosomal RNA
Source: RNAcentral